RNAcentral lists this ribosomal RNA (129 nucleotides) under Nannospalax galili (Upper Galilee mountains blind mole rat). The record is from RNAcentral. Lineage: Eukaryota; Metazoa; Chordata; Mammalia; Rodentia; Spalacidae.
GUUUAUGGAGAUACCGCUGUGAACAUGCCCAAUCUCAUCUGAUUUCAGAAGCUGAGCAGGGUUGGACCUGGUUAGUGAUUGGAUGGAAGGAUAUGGAUAGUUUUGUGUUAAAUCUCAUAUUGAUGAGCU